UAGGGAAUCUUCGGCAAUGGGGGCAACCCUGACCGAGCAACGCCGCGUGAGUGAAGAAGGUUUUCGGAUCGUAAAGCUCUGUUGUAAGAGAAGAACGUGUGUGAGAGUGGAAAGUUCACACAGUGACGGUAACUUACUAGAGAGGGACGGCUAACUACGUGCCAGCAGCCGCGGUAAUACGUAGGUCCCGAGCGUUGUCCGGAUUUAUUGGGCGUAAAGCGAGCGCAGGCGGUUUAAUAAGUCUGAAGUUAAAGGCAGUGGCUUAACCAUUGUUAGCUUUGGAAACUGGUAAACUUGAGUGCAGAAGGGGAGAGUGGAAUUCCAUGUGUAGCGGUGAAAUGCGUAGAUAUAUGGAGGAACACCGGUGGCGAAAGCGGCUCUCUGGUCUGUAACUGACGCUGAGGCUCGAAAGCGUGGGGAGCAAACAGG
RNAcentral lists this ribosomal RNA (429 nucleotides) under bacterium. RNAcentral describes it as "partial 16S ribosomal RNA". It matches the Rfam family "Bacterial small subunit ribosomal RNA", at positions 355 to 776 of the family's 1533-position model. The record is from RNAcentral.